UGAUUGGGAAUUAUCUGUGUUACAAAUUUUUGAUCCCAGGCUGGUAAAAAAUGUAAACUUUUAGCC
This 66-nucleotide ribosomal RNA is filed under the name Plasmodium falciparum (malaria parasite P. falciparum). Its description in RNAcentral is "small subunit ribosomal RNA". RNAcentral also lists the same sequence under 1 other name. Lineage: Eukaryota; Apicomplexa; Aconoidasida; Haemosporida; Plasmodiidae. The record is from RNAcentral.